This 774-nucleotide ribosomal RNA is filed under the name uncultured bacterium. RNAcentral's name for it is "bacterial SSU rRNA". It matches the Rfam family "Bacterial small subunit ribosomal RNA", at positions 8 to 773 of the family's 1533-position model. The record is from RNAcentral.
AGAGUUUGAUCCUGGCUCAGAUUGAACGCUGGCGGCAAGCCUAACACAUGCAAGUCGAGCGGUAACACAGGGAGCUUGCUCCUGAGUGACGAGCGGCGGACGGGUGAGUAAUGUCUGGGAAACUGCCUGAUGGAGGGGGAUAACUACUGGAAACGGUAGCUAAUACCGCAUAACGUCGCAAGACCAAAGAGGGGGACCUUCGGGCCUCUUGCCAUCAGAUGUGCCCAGAUGGGAUUAGCUAGUAGGUGGGGUAACGGCUCACCUAGGCGACGAUCCCUAGCUGGUCUGAGAGGAUGACCAGCCACACUGGAACUGAGACACGGUCCAGACUCCUACGGGAGGCAGCAGUGGGGAAUAUUGCACAAUGGGCGCAAGCCUGAUGCAGCCAUGCCGCGUGUAUGAAGAAGGCCUUCGGGUUGUAAAGUGCUUUCAGCGGGGAGGAAGGUGUUGAGGUUAAUAACCUCAGCAAUUGACGUUACCCGCAGAAGAAGCACCGGCUAACUCCGUGCCAGCAGCCGCGGUAAUACGGAGGGUGCAAGCGUUAAUCGGAAUUACUGGGCGUAAAGCGCACGCAGGCGGUCUGUCAAGUCGGAUGUGAAAUCCCCGGGCUCAACCUGGGAACUGCAUUCGAAACUGGCAGGCUAGAGUCUUGUAGAGGGGGGUAGAAUUCCAGGUGUAGCGGUGAAAUGCGUAGAGAUCUGGAGGAAUACCGGUGGCGAAGGCGGCCCCCUGGACAAAGACUGACGCUCAGGUGCGAAAGCGUGGGGAGCAAAC